This 497-nucleotide ribosomal RNA is filed under the name uncultured bacterium. RNAcentral describes it as "partial 16S ribosomal RNA". It matches the Rfam family "Bacterial small subunit ribosomal RNA", at positions 28 to 507 of the family's 1533-position model. The record is from RNAcentral.
GAUGAACGCUGGCGGCGUGCCUAAUACAUGCAAGUCGAGCGAACAGAUGAGGAGCUUGCUCCUCUGACGUUAGCGGCGGACGGGUGAGUAACACGUGGAUAACCUACCUAUAAGACUGGGAUAACUUCGGGAAACCGGAGCUAAUACCGGAUAAUAUAUUGCACCGCAGGGUUCAAUAGUGAAAGACGGUUUUGCUGUCACUUAUAGAUGGAUCCGCGCCGCAUUAGCUAGUUGGUAAGGUAACGGCUUACCAAGGCAACGAUGCGUAGCCGACCUGAGAGGGUGAGCGGCCACACUGGAAGUGAGACACGGCCCAGACGCCUACGGGAACGAGCCGGAGGGAUACUGCCGGCAUGGGCGAAAGCUAGACGGAGAAAGGCCGCGUGAGUGAGGAAGGUCUUCGGAUCGGAAAACUCUGUUAUUAGGUAAGAACAAAUGUGUGAGUAACUCUGCACGUCUUGACGGUACAUAAUCAGAAAGCCACGGCUAAAUACGUG